Molecule: ribosomal RNA, 488 nt
Filed under: Austropurcellia vicina
Lineage: Eukaryota; Metazoa; Arthropoda; Arachnida; Opiliones; Pettalidae
Description: partial 16S large subunit ribosomal RNA
Source: RNAcentral
UUCUUUUUGUAAGAAUAAAAAGUAAGUCCUGCUCAAUGAAAAGAUUAAAUAGCUGCUUUUAUUAGCACUAAGGUAGCAUAAUCAUUUGUUUAUUAAUUGUAAACUGGAAUGAAAGGAUAAAUAAUUAUUUACUUUAUUAAUCUUAUUAUUUGAAUUUUAACUUUUAUUUAAAAUGAUAAAAUAUAAUUUAGGGACAAGAAGACCCUAUAAAGCUUCAUAUUUAAAUUAAAUUUUUAUUUUAUUUUAAAAUAUUUUAUUGGGGCAAGGAUUUACUUAGAAAAAAUGUAAAUUUAUUAAUUAAAUAAAAAUGAAUAUUAAUGAUCCGAUUAUUAUCGAUUUAUUGAAUAAGUUACUUUAGGGAUAACAGUAUAAUUUUUAUUUUAGAGAACAUAUCGAAAAUGAAGAUUAUAACCUCGAUGUUGAAUUAAUUUUAUAAAAAGGUGAAGAAGCUUUUUAAUGUUUGACUGUUCGUCAAUUUAAUAAUUAUG